AGAGUUUGAUCAUGGCUCAGGACGAACGCUGGCGGCGUGCUUAACACAUGCAAGUCGAACGGAAAGUGCUCUUCGGAGUGACUCGAGUGGCGAACGGGUGAGUAACACGUGGGUGAUCUGCCCUGCACUUUGGGAUAAGCCUGGGAAACUGGGUCUAAUACCGAAUACACCCUGCUGGUCGCAUGGCCUGGUGGGGGAAAGCUUUUGCGGUGUGGGAUGGGCCCGCGGCCUAUCAGCUUGUUGGUGGGGUGAUGGCCUACCAAGGCGACGACGGGUAGCCGGCCUGAGAGGGUGUCCGGCCACACUGGGACUGAGAUACGGCCCAGACUCCUACGGGAGGCAGCAGUGGGGAAUAUUGCACAAUGGGCGCAAGCCUGAUGCAGCGACGCCGCGUGAGGGAUGACGGCCUUCGGGUUGUAAACCUCUUUCAAUAGGGACGAAGCGCAAGUGACGGUACCUAUAGAAGAAGCACCGGCCAACUACGUGCCAGCAGCCGCGGUAAUACGUAGGGUGCGAGCGUUGUCCGGAAUUACUGGGCGUAAAGAGCUCGUAGGUGGUUUGUCGCGUUGUUCGUGAAAACUCACAGCUUAACUGUGGGCGUGCGGGCGAUACGGGCAGACUGGAGUACUGCAGGGGAGACUGGAAUUCCUGGUGUAGCGGUGGAAUGCGCGAUAUCAGGAGGAACACCGGUGGCGAAGGCGGGUCUCUGGGCAGUAACUGACGCUGAGGAGCGAAAGCGUGGGGAGCGAACAGGAUUAGAUACCCUAGUAGUCC
This 774-nucleotide ribosomal RNA is filed under the name uncultured bacterium. RNAcentral's name for it is "bacterial SSU rRNA". It matches the Rfam family "Bacterial small subunit ribosomal RNA", at positions 8 to 796 of the family's 1533-position model. The record is from RNAcentral.